This 441-nucleotide ribosomal RNA is filed under the name uncultured bacterium. RNAcentral describes it as "bacterial SSU rRNA". It matches the Rfam family "Bacterial small subunit ribosomal RNA", at positions 957 to 1393 of the family's 1533-position model. The record is from RNAcentral.
UAACGCGAAGAACCUUACCUGGGUUUGACAUACGCCGGAAAGCAUCAGAGAUGGUGCCCCUUUUUGUCGGUGUACAGGUGGUGCAUGGCUGUCGUCAGCUCGUGUCGUGAGAUGUUGGGUUAAGUCCCGCAACGAGCGCAACCCUCGUUCCAUGUUGCCAGCAGGCCCUUCGGGGUGCUGGGGACUCAUGGGAGACUGCCGGGGUCAACUCGGAGGAAGGUGGGGAUGACGUCAAGUCAUCAUGCCCCUUAUGUCCAGGGCUUCACGCAUGCUACAAUGGCCGGUACAAAGGGCUGCGAUGCUGUAAGGCGGAGCGAAUCCCAAAAAGCCGGUCUCAGUUCGGAUUGGGGUCUGCAACUCGACCCCAUGAAGUCGGAGUCGCUAGUAAUCGCAGAUCAGCAACGCUGCGGUGAAUACGUUCCCGGGUCUUGUACACACCGA